Molecule: ribosomal RNA, 484 nt
Filed under: uncultured bacterium
Lineage: Bacteria
Description: partial 16S ribosomal RNA
Rfam family: Bacterial small subunit ribosomal RNA
Source: RNAcentral
GACGAACGCUGGCGGCGUGCUUAACACAUGCAAGUCGAGCGAUGAAGCCGGAGCUUGCUCUGGUGAAUUAGUGGUGAACGGGUGAGUAACACGUGAGUAACCUGCCCUUGACUCUGGGAUAACUGCUAGAAAUGGUAGCUAAUACCGGAUACGACCCUCGGAGGCAUCUCCAGGGGGUGGAAAGAAUUUCGGUCAAGGAUGGACUCGCGGCCUAUCAGCUAGUUGGUGAGGUAACGGCUCACCAAGGCGACGACGGGUAGCCGGCCUGAGAGGGUGACCGGCCACACUGGGACUGAGACACGGCCCAGACUCCUACGGGAGGCAGCAGUGGGGAAUAUUGCACAAUGGGCGCAAGCCUGAUGCAGCGACGCCGCGUGAGGGAUGACGGCCUUCGGGUUGUAAACCUCUUUCAGCACCGACGAAGCGCAAGUGACGGUAGGUGCAGAAGAAGGACCGGCCAACUACGUGCCAGCCGCCGCGGUAA